This is a non-coding RNA of Manis javanica (Malayan pangolin), 988 nucleotides long. Lineage: Eukaryota; Metazoa; Chordata; Mammalia; Pholidota; Manidae. The record is from RefSeq and is a predicted model, not a curated record.
GGAGCCUUAUGAGGAAAUGUAGGCCAAAGAAGUACUAAACCCAAUGAUUUACGCUGGGAACAGGAGGGGUGUCGUGGGAAAGUCACGUGAGGACACUAAGGAGAUUUCUGACGGAGGCCCUGUAUUUGAAUCUUAUUAAUUCCCUCCUUCUUUGUUAUCCCUAAUUAUAGAGUUGUCAAUCUCAAAACCCACAAAAGAAGGAAAUUUGAAAACAUUCUGAAUCUGUAUUAUACUAUUGAAUUCAUGUGGGUUUUUUUAUAUAGCUAGAGGGAGACAGCUUUAAAUGAACUUUUCACAGGGAAAAAAAAUAGGUGAGUGUUUAACAUAAAAAAAGGGAAUUGACAGAUAUGUAAUUAUUUUAGUGUCUCCACUUUGUUUCUUUCUUCGCCGUUGUCAGCUGCCUUCUCUUUUGAUUCACCAACAUACCCCCCGAAAGUUAUUCCUUUUAGCAUUCUUUUGCUGUGUGUGCAAAGCAGACGAUGAACAGACACCCCCUUGGGUCUCCUCUUCAGGUGAAGCCCACAGGGCUGAGCUCCAGGAGCUUAGAGGUGGAAGUCAUCAGAAAUCUGGCGGAUUUGAUCCACAGCAAUAGACUCAAAAGUAGCACAUGUAAGAACUGCCUUGUAAUGACCAGUUUUCAACAUGAAACUACUCAUGUGUGUGCAAUGGAGGAUCCACUGAAAAACCAACUAAAUGCUUUUAAUUAGAAGGGAACCAAAGGUGUAUGUCACUUGGAUGGCCAGACAUGAGUUUCACUCAUGUAAGCAGGUUGACACUAUUGUAAUCCUAUUACCCUGGCAUCAAUAACAGUCAUGAUUCAGGUGAGGGGAACACAAGGACAGAUGUGACAUGCAGAAAGCGUUUUACCAAACGAAAGGGAAAACACAGGAGGACAGGAUUGAAAUCCAGCCGGGGAAUCACGCCUGUUUGACUAACUGUGACCUCUUACCUCUGUGUAUGGUAACUGUUUCUUUAACCUGAACCUACA